UCGCCGUGGUUUGAUGAGCAGUGCCAUGUCCGCUCCCAGGAUUCGAACCAACGAAACACUGGGCCGCCUGCAGCGGAGCGCGCAAACUUAACCACUCGGCCACGGGGCCAGCCCCAACUCAUGUGCCUUUUUAAUGUCCAAGCUAGCUUCCAGGUGACUGCUGUAACAAUUCAUGUGUGCUAGGUAAAUUAAAGCAUUAUUAUUUGGGAAACCUUGAUAUUGGAUUAAAAAUUCAUUAAUUUUAUUGCAAGAAAUUUUAAUAUUACAUUUGUCAAUUGAAAAACGUCAUUAUCGGUUAAAAGUCCUGUCAGUUGUGGAUUUUUAAUAAUUGGCAUGAGUGAGCAAAGUGUCUUAUUGACCAGGAACAUAAAAAAUUUCAAUAAUUCAAGAAUCAAGGAUUUCAAGAAAUUAUUAUUAAAAGUUUUGAUAAAAUAUUAUAGUGUUUCAAGCGUAAAAUCUAUAGUAGUGUUACAUCUAGGGGAGUAAGCUCAGGUUUCUCAUGAAAAUUUUGCAAAGAUUUGUUUGGAAGUUUUAUAGAACUUCAAUGUUAAAUAUAUUCCUUAAUAUUUUAUAUUUUUAUAAUUUUAUAAUGCAAAUGAAAUAUAGUGAAGUGUUUUCUAUGUAAUUCUUUUGUUUACUCGAGCGUGCUGUGCAGCUAUUACCAAAUUCUCUUGGUGCCGUGACAUGGGAGGGGAAGCAUUGCCCUACAGGAACAGCAGUACGUGUGCCCCAGGAAGCUAAGACAUUAUACCACUACUUGUGAUUGCGAAGAAUGGGAAGCCCUUUAAAUACCCACUAAUGUGGAAACGUAGUGAAGCCAUACUAAAGAAUAUUAUGCAGCAGGUGAAAGAAUGUGUUAGAUCACUAAGUUCUAACAGAAAGAUCUCUAAGAAGUAUUAUGAAAUCAAAAUGAGGACAUGGCAUUUUACUAAUGCUGAUAGGAGACAUAUAUUUAUAAUAAAUAAUAUAAUCUGUGAUAGCUUUGCUUUUUACAAAUAGGUUGUAUUAAUGCAUUUCUUAUGUAAUUGAAAUUCAAUUUAUCUUGAAAAAGUGUUAUGAUACAAUAUAGUAAAAUAGGAGAGUGGUCUUAAUUUUCUUUUGAAAAUUUCAUAAAAUUACCAAGUUUUGUAUAAGAGACAUGACCUGAACAACACUAAAUUCUGCACAUUCUAUAUAAAUGAUUAUAUGUUGAGGCUCAGUGAUGACUAGACAGCCCUCCCUCUACGUGGUGCAGAGCAGAUUAAAUUAAUUAAAUCCGCCCCCCCAAAUAAACUAAUCAGAGAUAUCUUUCCCUAUAGAGCUGUAGAAAAAACUUGAGGCCUGCUGUAAAGUAUUUCAGAAAUGGAUUUACCUGCUAUGUUGGUCAGGACUGACGUGCCAGAAUGUGAAAACAAUCCUUGGCGUAAGUAAGGCUUCUGCAGUCUGCGAGGCACCAGCAAGUUCAGCGUCAAAGGCAUUCUCAAACCUGGCCGCAUUCUCCUUUUUCCCAGUCCCAACAGCUCGAUCCCAGUUAGGGAAAUUAGGCAGAGGACAGUCAUCCUCGCCAAAGUACUGAGAGUUUGAAACCAAGCCAUGGUUAGCACCCCUCGAGUAUUCAGAAGUCCAAACAACCAGAAAGUAGCUGAAGCUGGACGUCUUUUUGGUAGCUGUGGAUCUGGGCACCUGGCAUAGAAAGGCUGAAUUAUAUAGGUAGACAGUAACAAGGUCUGAGUAGCUAUUCCUAAGGGAUAAACAGAAAGUUUGAUCCAAAGACUGAAGAAAGAAACAGAGACCUUUUGAGGAAAUAACAGGGCUCUCCACUCCUGGAAGGUCGUCCCCAGCCCUGCAUGACUGAGAGUGGCGAUGACAGUCACUAUGGCACCAGCAGCCCAAAUGCUCAGGGAGACAGCUACAUUCAAUGAGGAGUAUUUUAAUACCCCUUUAGGAGACUCAAAGAUUCCUGCCCCUAUAUGGCACUAAAUAACAUAUUUCCAGGGAAGAAUCCUAUUACCCUCAGGAGUUGCAUGCUUUUUCCUUUUUCCUUCUGUUUUAGUCCUGAAAAAAUAAUUUGAUAUUUGUGUAUGGAUUGCUAAUUUUUAUACAUUCCCCCCAUGAUUCUUCUGUAACGUGCUUUCUUGAUUUAGCCAUCAUCUUUAAGGCAAUAAUAAGCAUUAUAUUAUUGCACUUAACUUUGUUCUAAAAAUGAUUAACUUGUGAAUUGUUCUAAGAUUUUGUGAACUCUUUUUAAGGCCACAGUUAAAAUGUUUCAUGUGUUAAUUAUUUAGAAAUUCAAAUAUGCCUGGUGAUGGUUGCACGACAUUGCAAGUGUAAUUAAUGCCACUGAGUUGGUCAAAAUGGCAAAUUUUAUACUAUAUCUAUUUUACCACAAGCUAAAAAAAUUAAUAAUGUAAUAUAUACAAAAAGCCAUCCAGUCAUACACUUUAAUUGGGUGAGUUGUAGGAUAUGUGAAUUAUAUCUCAAUAAAUCCGCCUUUGAAAAAUCGCAUAUACCACUGAACAAGUUAGUCACAGCUGAUUGAGAAAGGAAGACUUAAGUUUUGGGCAGAGAACUCUCCUUUGGAGGUAUGGCAUUGAUACUAUGUAACUCUAAGCUAAUAUUUUAAAAACUGUAUUUCAAAGGAACUGUAGUUUAAUGUAAAAAAUGUAAAUUUUGUAUUUAAGUGGGCCAAGGUUUGAAUCCCACAUCUGCCACUUAGUAGCUGCAUGAUUUUUAGUAAGUUGUCUUAUUUCUUAGAAUCCGUAUUUCCUGAUUCAUAUGUAAAAUGAGGAUAAUAAUUUCAUUUGAUCAUAGAGUCAUUUCCAUAGAACUGAUUAAGUAACCUGUGGGAAACACCCAUUGGAGUACCUGACCUGUCAGGGCUUAAUAAUUGCCCUUGUGUGUACUGCUACCUAACAAAUUGCCCCAAAAGUCAGUGACUUAAAACAACAGUAUUCUCUCAUAGUUUCUGUGGGCUGGAAUGUGGGUGCUGCGUCCUUUGGCUCUGGGUCUCUCAUGAGGCUGCAAUCAGCUAUCAGCUGGAGCCGCAGUCAUCUCAAGGCUCCUCUGGGGAAGGAUCCACUUCCAAGCUCACUCACAUGGUUGUUGGCUAGAUUCAGUUUCUUACAGGCUCUUGGACUAAGGGCCUCAGUCCAUCACGAGCUAUUAGCUAGAGGCCUUCCUUGGUUCUUUCUAUGUGGGCCUCCUCAUAAGGCAGGUGACAAUGUGGCAUCUUUCUUGAUCCACCAGAGAGAGAAAGUGCUAACGGGACAGAAGUCACAGUCUCUUGUAAUAUAACCUUGGAAGUGACAUCCUUUCCCCUUUGCUGUAUUCUGUUCUCUAGAAACAAGUCACAAGUUCCACCCACAAUCAAGGGGAGGGGAUUACCUUAGAACAUGAAUACCAGGAGGCAGAGAUCAUUGGGGGACAUUAUCAGUAUCAGUUAGGUUGUAUAUAAUGAAAUUUCGUUGGGGAAGCACUCAUUCUUUUAUUAUAAUUAGGUAUCAAUAUUGCUCCUGUGGAUAGAUAUAAACCAAUCUAUUAAUAGAUAUAUUUAGGAGCUUCCAGUUCCAGGAUAAAAUCUUGAGUCUAAUAACACAAUAUCCAAAUGUCCAGGACACAACAGAAAAUCCUUCACCAUACCAAGGACCUGGGAAAUCUCACCUUGAACAAAAAAGACAAUCAGCAGACAACAAUACUGAGAUGGCACAGAUAUUGGAAUUAUCUGGCAAAUAUUUUAAAGUAGCCAUCGUAAAAAUUCUUCAAAAAGCAAGUGCAAACAUACUUAAAAGAAAUGAAAAAAUAGAAAGACCCAGCAGAGAAAUAAAAUAUAUAAAGAGAAACGAAAUGGAAAUUUUAGAACUGAAAAAAUAUAAUAAAUUAAAAACUCAAUGGAUGGGUUCAACAGCAGAGUGGAGAACACAGGGAAAGAAUCAGUGAACUUGAAAAUAGAACAAUAGAAAUUACCCAGUGUGGAAUGUAGAGAGAAAAUGAACUGGAAAAAAAAAAAGUAUAGAGACUCAGUGAUUUUUGUGGGCCUAUAACAAAAAGUCUAAUAUUUGUGUCAUUAGAGUUCCAGAGAAGAGGACAAAAAGAGUGUUCUCAAAAAAUAUUCAAAGAAACAAUGGUUGAAAAUUUCCCGACUUUGGUAAAAGAUAUAAAUCUACAGAUGUAAGAAGGUGAAUGAGUUCUAAACAUGAUAAAUCCAAAGAAAUCCAUGCCAAGAAACAUCAUAACCAAACUUCUAAACACCAAAGGAGCCAAAGAUAAAGAAAAAAAUAUAGGAAUUCUACAGGAAAAAUGACUCCUCACCUUUAAAGCAAAACCAAUUUGAAUAAAUGUAUUUAGGCCUCUCCUGUCUCUAAAUCACAUGUGCAGCUUGUGCCACUAUGUAGGUGUCAAUACAUCCAACAUAUUUUUUUUACUAAUUCAUAUAUUCAUUCAUUUAUUAUUUGUUUGUAGCAGGAUAAAGUAUAAAGAAAUUAACUUAUGAUUUGUUUUUGUUUUGGUGUGUUCAUUUUAUUCAGGAAAUAUUUGUUGAGCACCUACUGUGUGCAAAACUCAAAGUUGACAAAGACCUUUUAUAUUCUAGUCAGGGCAGACAGAAUCACUUUGGCAUCCUAGUCAAGGGGAAGAGAAGUAAACACACAAGAAAGAAAAAUAUAUAAUAUGUCAGACAGGGAUGACUGAUGAAUGGUGGUAGUGGUGGUGGUAAUGACAGUGUUUGUGUGCAAUGAAAGGGUUAACAGUUAAUAGGUAAUAUUUUCUCCAAACACAGGGACACUUGCAGAAAGUUUUACCCUUAGUUGGACUUGCUGCAAUUAGAGAUAAAUGAGUGUCUUCCUGGUGUUUCUGUUUACUGACUCCUGAUCCUAGGAUGUUCCUAGCAUGCUGUAGCUGGCUGUCUGGAUUAUUUCUUGUACAAUUUGUAGUUUUUAGAUUAAAGCUUCACUCAAGAAAGGGAUCUGGGUAUGGACCACUCCAAGUACAGAGGACUAGCAAGUAUCUAAGCUUGGGGACAAGAAUAUUGGCAUUGGAGAUUUGAAGUGAUUGGAUUCUUGAUAUAUUUUGAAAGUGGACCCUACAGAAUUUGCUGAUGCAUUAGAUGUGGGCUUGUGAGAGGUUGACAGGAAUGAGAAUGACCAAGGUAUGUGGGCCUGGCAGCAAGAAGAAUGGAGGCGCCUUUAUAGUGCUCUAUUGUUUGAUGUAUCUAUUUGCCUUUGAUGAGCAUUUUUUUGCUAUUAAAUUCAAUGCAGCAGUGACAUUGUUCACAAUUUCUUCUUAGACACGUUUGAGUUCCUCUAGGAUGUUCAUAAGAGUGGGAUUGCUGGUUCACACAGUACUGCUGCUUCAUUAGUUCCCAGUUUCACAUCUUUGCCAACACUUAGUAUUGUCAGGCUUAAAGUUCUUGCUGAUCUGAUGGAUGUGAAAUUAUAUCUCAGAAACAUAUUAGACCUUUGCCCAUAUUGUACUUGUUUGUUCUAUUUUCUGUAUUUCCAUCUUUUGUUUCUCUCUCCGUGUUUCUAUCCAGAUAUUUUAUUUUGGUGUAUCUUGAUGUGUUAAUGUGGAACUCUUGUUACCAUUCCAAGUGGUUUCUUCAUCUCAAGCCUUAGUAAAUUUCAUUAUUACCCGCCCAAUGGAUCAAAACUACAUCCAAAUGUCUUUAACACUUUUCUUCACUCCCUACAUCCAGUCCAUCACCAAGCUCUCCCGCUUCUACUUCCAAACAUCCAUAUCCGAUCACGUCUCCCAUUCUACUACAAAUAUCUUGUCUGAGCCACUCUCAUUUAUCUUUAGAUAAUGAGAAAAAGCUUUUCACUCAUUUUCCUGCUUUAGCUACUGUCUUUCCCCAAUUAAUUCUCUGAAACUAUUUAGUAUUUAUAGUAAAAUCUUAAUGUCAUUUUAUUUACUUAUUUUUGGUUAAAUUUAGGCCUAGGUAUGCUAUGUUUAUUUUCACUUGUAAAUUCUGUCUUUUAAACAUUUUCUUACUGUUUGAUACCGGUUUAUAAUUGAUCUUAGACUCAACUUUAUUGCUUAAUAAUUAUUUUCUUAAUAAUUCUAAAAUAUUGAUAAUCAUUUAGUUUGUAGAUAAUGACAGUUUUGGAGUCACUUUUCCUUUUCCUUUCUAUUUUUUUUAAAUCAUUUUAUGUCUAUGACCUACCUCAUGGAGAAAAAUGUACAAGAAUGAUCAUAGAUGUAUUAUUUGUCAUCACAAAAAUUUUAAAGCCAUGUAUAUGUUAUCAAUAGGGGAAUGAAAAUAUAAAUUUUACUAAAUUCACACAGUGCAAAAUCACAAAGUAGUCAAUUAUGAAUGAACUAGAGAUCUCAGUGUUAAUAUGUGUAUAGUUAAAAAACGUAAAAUUGAACAAAAUUGUAAGUUGCACUGUGUAUAGUCUAUAUAUAGUGUGAAACUGUAUAAUGUUAAAAUAUUAAAAAUGAGUGCCGUAUAUUAUUUAUGAAUACAUACAUAUGUAAAAAAUAUAGUGAUAUUCAAGAUAGGGGUUCCCUCUGGGGGUAAGUGAGGGAAAUGAGAAGGGAGGUACGCACUGGCUCUUCAACAAUAUUGCUAGUGUUUAAUUUCUUAAGUUGAGUGUUUAUGAUGUUUUUCAUAUUAUUCUUCCUAUUUAAAAAAAAGUUUGAAUAUUACUUUAAUCCUCAGAUCAUACUCCCUGCUUACAAUUCUCCAGUGGUUUCCUGUUGCCCUUAGAAUAAAGUAUCAACAUAACACGGUCUAUGAGGGUCCACAUGACCCGUUUCCUGACUGACUCUUCAGUCUCCUCCACUCCUCUCUCCUCUCCUUCAGGAAACUUCGGUUACUCUAUGCUUCAAAUCCUCCACCAAUUCCUAGCUUUCUUGCCUUAAGCAAGUUACUUCUUCAUGUCUGUUUGCUCAUGUGUAAAAUGUAGAUAAUAAAAGUACCUGUCUCAUUGGGUUGUUGUGAGGAUUAAGUGUAUUAGGACAUAAAAAGUUCUUGGAGCUGUACCUGGCAUACAGUAAACGCUUGGUAAAUAUUAAGAAGAUCAUUGUUACUAUAAACAUCACUGAUGACAUAAUUUGAUCAUGAAUCAGAGGAAGUGAUAGUUAAACUGAGAACUUAAGAGGCGGAGACUGGCAGGGAGGAGGAUUCCAGGCAGAAGAAAGAGCAUCUGCAAAGCCUCUUAGGUGAAAACAACCUGGUGUCCUCAAGAAUCGAAAGGUAGGCAUCGUGGCUGUGAAUGAAGGGGCAAGCAACAGGGGUGGGGUCAAGUAGGGUCUUUUAGUUUAUACCUUACAAAGUUGUGUAAUGAUGGGUGCUUUAUUCUACUGUGGCUCAGGUGGGUCUUGAGCGGUGUAGUGAACCCUGGAUGGUGCAUAACGAUCCUUAUCUCCCGGUAUUCACACUCUUGUGUAGCUGCCUCCCAUAUUGUGCUACUACUAGUGUUGGUCUGUGUGACGAUAGAAUACAGAUGAAGAGAUAAUAUGUCAAUUAUAAGAUUAUGUUAUAAAAGGCAGCAAAGCUCCUAUCCACCCUCCCUUCCCAUUCUCUCAGUCUCUCUCUCUCUUUCUCUCUUUUUCAGAUUACUUGCUCUGGGGCAGCCAUUGGCCAUGUCAUGAGGAAGCUUUAUGGGGAGACCCACCUGGUGAGGAAGUAAAGCCUCUUGUUGAAAGCAUCUACUUAAUGAUGAGGUCGCACUCUUUUGAGCUUCUGCUGUUUGCCAGAGACCAUGCUAAUCAACGCGUGUACAGGAUCACGAAGACGUGAUCUGCGUCUUGUUCAUCAUUGUCACCCUGCUGUCUGGUCCAGCUCAGGGUACAAGAUGAAGAAAGAGGCUCAGCCAGGAAGGUUGGUUGGCAGAAGUUCACGUAGCUAAGUCAGUGGAACAGCCGGGAUGAGAACCCGUGUCUGUUCAGUGUCGAAGAUGGUGCUCUUAACCAUCCUGCUCUUCGUCAAUAUGGUAAUAGUGGCCCGAAAGAACACUGGCACACCCUAAAAUUAACCCUUUUCCUCCCUUGGCAUUAAAUAUACACUCAGUAGUUCAUACGUAUGAAAUCUGUUAGGGCUGUAUACCAGAAGAUGGAAACGUUUUCAGCUGUUAGAAAUACACUUUACUGAAGAGAUCAUUAAUAUGGGGGAAAAAUAAGCAUUUGACUAUUUUACAUUAAAAUGUUUUUGAAGUUUUACAAAGAAAAAUUAAACAAAACCUACAUUUAAGGAGUUACAGCAACAUCUUUACUGUUUGGAGAACACUAACAUUUACAGAAGACUGACGUUUCCUCACUGUCAUUGUAAAGAAGCCCACGGCCAGUCCUGUUUGCAGUAGGAAGCCCUGUUUACUAACUCGGAAGGGAUGAAAGAAUCAGAGACUCUUAUAACUGGAAGAGACCUUAGAAGUCAUUCAGACAAAUAGCUUGACGUUUUCCAGACAGAUGCUCGUGUCAUUUUCCCUUAAACACCUCCAGUGAUGGAGUGCGCCCUGCCUCCUGGGGCCUCGCAUUCCACUUCAGCAGCUCGUCUAAAGGCCUUUCUUUCAGCUGAGUCCAAAUCUAUGUCUGUCAUUUCCACCCCAUUGUUCCCUUUCCUUUCCUUUUCCCAAUGACAGCCCAAAUCUUCUUUUUCUGGCUCCUAUUCCCCUUUUUUUUUUCCAGUUCUUCCUUAUGUAAAAUGAUUUGGGAUCCUUUUGUCACCCUGAUGGAUUUUCAGUUUAUCCUCCAUGUUUUUAAAAUCUUCAUCCUUAAGUGUGUGGCUCCAAACCAAAGACAAUGCUCAAAGAAUUGUUAGCAAAUUGCAGAAUAAAAAAGUACUGCCAUCUUUCUUCACCCAUAGAGCAUGUUUUAUGUGAAUAAUAUAUAUAUGUGUGUGUGUAUAUGUAUAUAUAUAUAUACACACACACAAACACUAAAUGUGAUAAUUUCAUGCACAAUCCAAAGGACUAUUUUAAAACUCUGGGUAUUAAAAAUAUAUAUUAGGGAUUUGAGACUGCAAAAAGAGAAGAUUAGUGGAGUCAAGAAAUAAACUGUUGAGAAGUUUGAGGAGGAGGCAGCUGAGAUGGGGAAGGUCUCCCUCAUGCGCCUCCAGAGUUUUGGGAAGACCCCUGGGAAUGCGAUAUCACCAUUAACAGCUCCCAGUGGGAGACUGGAGACCUACAAACACUAUGUGAGCCAUACCGAUGGCCUGGGACGUAAAGAAUUAAUAUUCAUAAACUGAUUACAGAUACCGCACUUUUGUUGCAUUUAUAGCUGAUACUUCAAGGAAUAUUGUUCUAAUGUCUAUGAUUGUUGCUGUUAGCAAGUAUGUUCCACAAAGUCACCCUAGAGCCUGGCAAGAUAUGAGGAAAUUGUCAACUGAGUCAAUCACUUCAAGAAAGCUGACUACAAUGCAUACAGGGCCUGACAUGGCUGUUGAGCAUGCAGUGUAUAUCUGAUUUAAGCAUAUGCUGUGUCCCAAAGGCAGAAGAAUUGGCCUUAAAAUAAAGAUACAACUUCUCCCACAUUGGCAUUUCCUUAAGGAUAAGCAUCUUUCCUUAGGCUAGGAACUGACUGCUGUGCGCACCUGUGACCACCCAGCUCACUUGUGACCACCCCGCUCACCUGUGACCACCCAGCUCAAGACAAUAGACCUGCCAGCCUGCUGUGUCCACUGAGACAGCAGACCUACCUGCUGUGUCCAUCAAUCGCUGUGCCGUCAGAGCGGUCUCGUGACCAUUGUAAAAGGAUGCUUUGUGAAACAUCCUCUUUGAGGGUAUACAACCACUCUGUGCACCCCACUUCUUUGGUGCCCUUCCUUCCUUGGGGAAAGAAGGCCUGGGCUAUAUGGUCCUCAUCUGGCUCAGAAUAAACUCACCUCAAUUUUCAUUUAUGUAUUUGUUGUGGAUUAUUUACACCGACAUCACCAACGGCAGUGACUUGCUCCACCGCACCAGUCAUCGCCUGAACCACCCAGGCCAGCUGGCUCUAUAUUCAUGUUUGAUUUUGUAUUCUUCACACCGCUUACAAGUUUACUUGGUUUAAGGGGAAGAUGGCCAUCUUGGUAAGAAGCUAGAAGAAGGACUCAAAUUCUUGAAAGCAGAUGAUGGUUCUGAUGUUGAGACAUUUUCAUGUAAUGUGUGUGCUGUGUUUAUCUUCAAGGCAUGUCAGGAAAGCUGCUGGAAACGGCAAGAGACAGUCUUCCCAGAUCUCCAGCCAACCCAAUCUCAAUCAGAACAGUCUCAGAAAUGUUCAUCUCAAAUGACCAUUCAAGCUUAAUAGUUUAAAACAGAGGAAUGACGACAGCAUCCUGUAAAAAUUAGAGGGGAAAAAUGUUUGUGGAUCAUUUGUUCUGUGGUUAUUGUCAGCUUUUGAAAUCUGUAUCUUUAAAUGGAAAAAACUUAAUAAAAAAUCUGUACCAGGUUGAAAAAAUUAUUUUGAAGAUUUUCAAGCACACAAAAGCAGAGGGAGUCACAUAAGGGACCCCCACAUACUCAUCACCCAGCUUCAAUAAUUAUCAACAUUUUGUCAUUCUUGUUUCAUUUAUUCAUUUCCUUGGUUUUUAUUUUCUAGAUUAUUAUAAAACAUACACAUCAUAGGCAUCUCUGAUAGCUAAUUUCUCAAAAGUUUGAGAAUAUUAAAACAAAAUUUAAUGGAAUGAAAAAAGAAAUAUUAUAGGUAAAUAUUGCUACAUAUUUGCGUGCAUCAUUUCAUUUGGUAAGAAAAAAUUUCAGAUGCUGCAUUUUUUACCAUCCAAAAUAUCUAAUAGCAAAAAAAUAACACCUCACUUUAAAAAACCAAACUAAUCAGAUUGCUCCCAUGCCUCAUGACACAUGCGAUGUUUCGAGCUCUAGAUAUGUCUUAAAUCAUGUGGUAAAUUCUUCUAAACAUAAACGUAAUUCUUUAUCUCUAUAAGUGAUAAUUCUAUAGUAAAGUUAUUUCAAAGACUCUACUAUUAGUCUUUUUCUUUGAUUAUUGUUUUUUGUUGGAAAAUUGGUACACUUAAUACAGUUCCUCAGCUUAUCUCAAAAUGCUAUCCAAGGAGAAGAAUAUUUGUAGAUUUAAUAAGUCCAUUUUCUAUUUUAGGAACAAUAAAAGUGUGUGCAUAUAGACAUACAUACUUAUAUAGGUGUGUACUAUGUAUAUAAAUAUAUUAACAUGUACAUAUGUAUACAUUUAUACAUAAUUAAGAUAUACACAUCUUCUCAAGAAGAUAUACAUAUAUACUAUCGUAUAUGUAUAUAUAUUAAGAAGAUACACAUACAGACAUACACACACUCAGUGUCUUCUUGAACAAGUACCCACAUGUAAGCACUUCCGUUAUCUCUUGUUGACAUGCUGCAUGGUUAAGAUGUCCAACAAAUCAGCCACCUGGGGACACCCUUGGGCAGCACACUUCUCUCCCUCCAGCCCGGAUGCCACCCUGUGCUGUCCCUGUCACUGUGCUACCCUGAGUAUCCUUGCCAGGACACCUGUGCCUUCACCUGCAGGCCUCCCGUCUGGUGAAGUGACAGCCUCUUCUGGUUUGCGCACCUGCUGGACUCACACUGCCCGCGUCCACACACCCUUUGCCUAUGGGUGGCGUGUGGAGCUUGGAGAAAGUCAGACACCGGCCUAGGCGUGGAGGGCAACGGCGAGAAUUCAGAAGGAAGAGAAGCAGACUUUCAAUUGUGUGCUGUAUGUGUUCGUGAAGAUUUGCUGAACAGAACUGUGGUUUACAUUAUAUAUAAAAGGAAAUCUAAAAAACAUAACCCCUUUAAUUCUGAAAUUCAAUUAAUCAAUGACAAUGAAGUUUCCAAAGGUCCCAAAGAAAUUUUUAAAAUUGGGGCACACAUAAAAGAGGCGUUUCUUUAAAACGGUGUGAUUUCACACUUAUUCUGAACUUCCCUGCGGCUUCUUGUGGUACAGAAAUUAACCUGCAACACCUUUCCUAUUUCUCUCCUGUGCUGUUUUUCCAAUGAUUAAUGGCUUUAAAAAGGGAAAAAAAAUCUGUUUCGCUUGAAACUACUUUCUCCAACUAGAAAAAAUAUAAAAUUCUACUUUGCAAACCA
Non-coding RNA from Equus caballus (horse), 11969 nucleotides. NCBI's taxonomy places the organism in Eukaryota, Metazoa, Chordata, Mammalia, Perissodactyla, Equidae. The record is from RefSeq and is a predicted model, not a curated record.